CCUGGCAACACUUCAUUACACAACACCAGUUGCCAUGGCCACUGAAAGGGAGGCAGCAAACAGCACUGCUGCAGUGCUGGCAGGAGCUGCUCUGGCUUCCUGGCACAUGGAUUCAUGGUGCAUGGGAAGGCCAUGGGUGACAAAAUUACACGGACCUGUGAUGGAACUGUAGGAUCAUGUUAAGAACACAGCAAAAUUCUUCUGUUUAUUUUCCCUUUCCAAUAGCUAGCAUAUCUCCCUGUGACACAGCCAUUUUUUUGCAUGUUAUUGAUCAUCAGCUUAAUAUACUCUGCUCUCAGCUCACAUACCUGUCAGGAUGGUAUGAGAAUGGUAAUCACAUCUGAAAGGAACUCUGUCCAUGUAUUUUACGUACCUGAAUCAAUCUGUGUCUCAUCCAAUAGCUUAAAAAACUGCAAAGGUGAGAGCACUCAAAUUCUGUCUGUUCCAGCCUGAAGUGCACAGCGCUUUGCAAUGGACACGAUCUGCCCACCACCACAACCAUGCAAGUCAUUGUGCACCCUUACUUGGAUUAACUACAGCUUCCCAGGAAUCAGAACUCGCCAUCAUGUAGUAAUGUUGAAUGCCCUGGACAAUGCUAACUUGACUUCUGAUUCAUUCCAUUAAUUGGUUGAAACUGCAAAAUGAGAUUUUUCCAGACAAGGAAACUGCAUGCAAGCCACAUGGAGAUCUCUGAGGAAUGGGGGAAGUACAGCCAAGCUUGCACUGGGUGGGCGGAUGGAUUUUCACAAGAUCCCUUCCACGAGGUAACUUGUUCAAAGCACAGCCAUGGAACAACAGAUGAAGAGGUGCCCCAGCUCCCAACCUCUACAUUUGAGCCAAACUUGAAUAAGUCACCUUUGAGUUCUAGUUACUCUUUCCACCUCAAGCUGCCUCAAGCACAGCACUUCCCAUCUUCUUGGAUGGGUGCUCCAGAAAUUGUAAAGGCAGCUUAUGUUAAUUGCUCACUCUGGGAGGUCACAUUCACCUAUCAAACCCAUGCCAUCUGGGGCUUCUGAAAGAUUAAAAAUGAGAGACAAACAAGAGGAUUAUUAAAAAUUUAACUAUAUACCAUAUUUAUUAUCAAUCCACAGGAUAAUCUGAUUGCUACAUGAGCUCAUAAAAGCUAUUUCACCUUUACAAAAUUAAAAAAAACAAUGUGCCACAAGGAUGUCAUAACUGCUGAUAACCAAGGACUGAAUCUUAAAAUUAUAAAUUUUGCUGUAGAAAAGAUUAAAAAAAAUUAUAUUCACUUUAGAAUUUUACUUUGAAUAAAAUAUUCCCCUGUAUAAAAAAUAAAAAAGCUUGCUCUGGUUAGAAUUAGAGUAUUUUUCUUCUUUUUUAAAUCUGGGAAUUUGCAUAAUAUCUCUGUAAUAAGUUUCUUUUCUUUUUUCUAUUGUACCACGCGGCAUUCAAGCAUAGCAGAUUAGAAA
Molecule: long non-coding RNA, 1430 nt
Organism: Prinia subflava (tawny-flanked prinia)
Lineage: Eukaryota; Metazoa; Chordata; Aves; Passeriformes; Cisticolidae
Exons: 2
Source: RefSeq, a predicted model, not a curated record